RNAcentral lists this unclassified non-coding RNA (456 nucleotides) under Hevea brasiliensis (rubber tree). The record is from RNAcentral. Lineage: Eukaryota; Viridiplantae; Streptophyta; Magnoliopsida; Malpighiales; Euphorbiaceae.
CUCUCUUUCAUCAUUUCAACUUCUACAAAAAUGUGCACCCAAAAAAAAAAUACUAAAUGUAGAAAUGAUUAAAAUGGAUAAUCCUCAAAUGACACAAAAUUAUAUGCAAUUUGCAGUAUACUUUAUAAAUUCCUAAUAUUGCUGACAAGAAGCUUAAAGAAGAUGGACACUCAAAGGUAAUUUAAAAUUAAAAAAAAAAUUUGUCUAAAAAUUUGAUAAAUUAAAGGUUAAGCUCUCCUAUUUCCCCAAUACUUGGAAGAAACAAAAUCAUAAAACCUCAAUAUCCAUAAUUUACUUUUAUUAGCAACCCAACAAAUCAAAUCCAUAAAAUUGACAGCCUAAAAAACAAAAAGCACAAAAAACUGCAUCCAAAAUUGACCUUAAACCUCACUCAAUCCACCAAAAAUCACUCAGACGAACAGCACUAAAAGUGAAAUAACUAACAAAAAAAAAAAA